GAUGAACGCUGGCGGCGUGCCUAAUACAUGCAAGUCGAGCGAACAGAUGAGGAGCUUGCUCCUCUGACGUUAGCGGCGGACGGGUGAGUAACACGUGGAUAACCUACCUAUAAGACUGGGAUAACUUCGGGAAACCGGAGCUAAUACCGGAUAAUAUAUUGAACCGCAUGGUUCAAUAGUGAAAGACGGUUUUGCUGUCACUUAUAGAUGGAUCCGCGCCGCAUUAGCUAGUUGGUAAGGUAACGGCUUACCAAGGCAACGAUGCGUAGCCGACCUGAGAGGGUGAUCGGCCACACUGGAACUGAGACACGGUCCAGACUCCUACGGGAGGCAGCAGUAGGGAAUCUUCCGAAAUGGGCGAAAGCCUGACGGAGCAACACCGCGUGAGUGAUGAAGGUCUUCGGAUCGUAAAACUCUGUUAUUAGGGAAGAACAAAUGUGUAAGUAACUAUGCACGUCUUGACGGUACCUAAUCAGAAAGCCACGGCUAACUACGUG
RNAcentral lists this ribosomal RNA (497 nucleotides) under uncultured bacterium. Its description in RNAcentral is "partial 16S ribosomal RNA". It matches the Rfam family "Bacterial small subunit ribosomal RNA", at positions 28 to 507 of the family's 1533-position model. The record is from RNAcentral.